GACGAACGCUGGCGGCGUGCCUAAUACAUGCAAGUAGAACGCACAGUUUAUACCGUAGCUUGCUACACCAUAGACUGUGAGUUGCGAACGGGUGAGUAACGCGUAGGUAACCUGCCUGGUAGCGGGGGAUAACUAUUGGAAACGAUAGCUAAUACCGCAUAAUAUUGAUUAUUGCAUGAUAAUUGAUUGAAAGAUUCUAUUUCAUCACUACCAGCUGGACCUGCGUUGUAUUAGCUAGUAGGUGAGGUAACGGCUCACCUAGGCGAAGAUACAUAGCCGACCUGGGAGGGUGGACGGCCAAACUGGGAAUGGGACAAGGGCCAGACUCCUACGGGAGGGAGCAGUAGGGAAUCGUCGGCAAUGGACGAAAGUCUGACCGAGCAACGCCGCGUGAGUGAAGAAGGUUUUCGGAUCGGAAAGCUCUGGUGUAAGAGAAGAACGGGUGUGGGAGUGGAAAGUGCACGCUGUGACGGUAUCUUACCAGAAAGGGACGGCUAACUACGUG
Molecule: ribosomal RNA, 505 nt
Filed under: uncultured bacterium
Lineage: Bacteria
Description: partial 16S ribosomal RNA
Rfam family: Bacterial small subunit ribosomal RNA
Source: RNAcentral